This 71-nucleotide transfer RNA is filed under the name Styracaster yapensis. Its description in RNAcentral is "tRNA-Val". Lineage: Eukaryota; Metazoa; Echinodermata; Asteroidea; Paxillosida; Porcellanasteridae. The record is from RNAcentral.
CUUGGUAGAGCUUGAUAGAUAAGCUUUUCUUUUACACAGAAAAAAUAUUUGUGCAAAUCAAAUUACCUUGA